Molecule: non-coding RNA, 261 nt
Organism: Vicia faba (fava bean)
Lineage: Eukaryota; Viridiplantae; Streptophyta; Magnoliopsida; Fabales; Fabaceae
Source: the annotation of a GenBank genome assembly
AUGAAACUCGUAAGCUGGAACUGCAGGGGUUUGCGGAAUCCCCGAGCAGUUCGAGCCUUGUCAAGGCUCAUCCGAAAAGAAAAUCCCUCUCUUAUCUUUGUUAUGGAAUCCCGUCUCAAGGAGCAGGAGUUUGGUUCUUUCAAACAUAAAUGCGGCUUUGAUCAUGUGUUUGGUGUUGGGUGUCAUGGGGAAGGGAGAGCGCGAACAGGAGGUUUAGCAAUGAUGUGGAGAGAUUCUUUAAAGAUAACAGUCACCAAUUAG